This is an RNA transcript of Zalophus californianus (California sea lion), 774 nucleotides long. It is a transcript of the gene named transmembrane protein 238, with no coding region annotated. The transcript has 3 exons. NCBI's taxonomy places the organism in Eukaryota, Metazoa, Chordata, Mammalia, Carnivora, Otariidae. The record is from RefSeq and is a predicted model, not a curated record.
UCUGGGGGAGCCAGCGCGGCAGAGCAGGGCCAUGGCAGCGGCGCCAGCGGUGGGCGCCCCGCAGGGGCCCCCGCCGGGUGCACCGUCCCCACCGGCCGGCGCGCGAGGGCCGGCGUCCGGCCUGGGCCGCUGCCGGAUGGCGCUACUGCUGGCCGUGGCGCUGGACGUGGCGGGCAUGGCGGCGCUGCUGACCGGCGUGUUCGCGCAGCUGCAGGUGCGCGGCCGCGACUUCGGCGACCUGCUCAUCUACUCGGGCGCGCUGCUUGUCUUCCUGAGCCUGCUCGGCUGGAUCCUCUGGUACACCGGCAACAUCGAGAUCUCGCGCCAGGAGCUGGAGCGCGACUACGGCCUGCGGCCCUCGACUCUGGCCCGCCUGGCGCGCAAGCUCUCCCGCCGCUGGUCUGCGCCGGCCUCCUCCUCCUGCCCGCGCGCCGCGCCCGGCUCUCUAGGAACGCGCCGUGCCGUCCGCGCGCCCCCGCCGCCCGCUGCCGGCUCCCGCCGCGUGCGCCUGCAGCUCGCUACGCUCGAGGCCGGGCCCGGGGCGGCGGGCGCGGGCACCGAGUGAGCCCGAGCUUGUGCCUCUGGACCCCAGUGAGGCAAAUACGCUGCAGCAGAUGGGGGCGUGGAGGGGUGGAGGAGCAGUUGAGCAGGCGGACCCACGGACCCACCUGUCAGGACUGGACUGCGGUGUACAGUUGUGCCCACCAUCAUCUGGGCCACCAAGAUGUCUACCUGUCCACCCCAUCCUCCCCUGGAUAAAUGGCUCUGCCUCAU